UAGUACGACCCAUGCCGGCUCA
Molecule: microRNA, 22 nt
Filed under: Tribolium castaneum (red flour beetle)
Lineage: Eukaryota; Metazoa; Arthropoda; Insecta; Coleoptera; Tenebrionidae
Description: tca-miR-3851k-3p
Source: miRBase by way of RNAcentral